RNAcentral lists this ribosomal RNA (508 nucleotides) under Salmonella enterica. RNAcentral describes it as "bacterial SSU rRNA". It matches the Rfam family "Bacterial small subunit ribosomal RNA", at positions 1 to 498 of the family's 1533-position model. The record is from RNAcentral. Lineage: Bacteria; Pseudomonadati; Pseudomonadota; Gammaproteobacteria; Enterobacterales; Enterobacteriaceae.
AAAUUGAAGAGUUUGAUCAUGGCUCAGAUUGAACGCUGGCGGCAGGCCUAACACAUGCAAGUCGAACGGUAACAGGAAGCAGCUUGCUGCUUUGCUGACGAGUGGCGGACGGGUGAGUAAUGUCUGGGAAACUGCCUGAUGGAGGGGGAUAACUACUGGAAACGGUGGCUAAUACCGCAUAACGUCGCAAGACCAAAGAGGGGGACCUUCGGGCCUCUUGCCAUCAGAUGUGCCCAGAUGGGAUUAGCUUGUUGGUGAGGUAACGGCUCACCAAGGCGACGAUCCCUAGCUGGUCUGAGAGGAUGACCAGCCACACUGGAACUGAGACACGGUCCAGACUCCUACGGGAGGCAGCAGUGGGGAAUAUUGCACAAUGGGCGCAAGCCUGAUGCAGCCAUGCCGCGUGUAUGAAGAAGGCCUUCGGGUUGUAAAGUACUUUCAGCGGGGAGGAAGGUGUUGUGGUUAAUAACCACAGCAAUUGACGUUACCCGCAGAAGAAGCACCGGCU